Molecule: ribosomal RNA, 347 nt
Filed under: uncultured bacterium
Lineage: Bacteria
Description: partial 16S ribosomal RNA
Rfam family: Bacterial small subunit ribosomal RNA
Source: RNAcentral
CCUACGGGUGGCAGCAGUGAGGAAUAUUGGUCAAUGGGCGCGAGCCUGAACCAGCCAAGUAGCGUGAAGGAUGACGGCCCUACGGGGUGUAAACUUCGUUUAUAAAGGAAUAAAGUGAGGCACGUGUGCCUUUUUGUAUGUAAUUUAUGAAUAAGGAUCGGCUAACUCCGUGCCAGCAGCCGCGGUAAUACGGAGGGUCCGAGCGUUAUCCGGAUUUAUUGGGUUUAAAGGGAGCGUAGAUGGGUUGUUAAGGCCGUUGUGAAAGUUUGCGGCUCAACCGUAAAAUUGCAAUUGAUACGGGCAGCCUUGAGUACAGUUGAUGUCGGCGGACUUCGUGGUGUAGCGGU